AUUGAACGCUGGCGGCAGGCUUAACACAUGCAAGUCGAGCGGAUGAAAGUAGCUUGCUACUGGAUUCAGCGGCGGACGGGUGAGUAAUGCUUAGGAAUCUGCCUAUUAGUGGGGGACAACGUUCCGAAAGGAGCGCUAAUACCGCAUACGUCCUACGGGAGAAAGCAGGGGACCUUCGGGCCUUGCGCUAAUAGAUGAGCCUAAGUCGGAUUAGCUAGUUGGUAGGGUAAAGGCCUACCAAGGCGACGAUCUGUAGCGGGUCUGAGAGGAUGAUCCGCCACACUGGGACUGAGACACGGCCCAGACUCCUACGGGAGGCAGCAGUGGGGAAUAUUGGACAAUGGGGGGAACCCUGAUCCAGCCAUGCCGCGUGUGUGAAGAAGGCCUUUUGGUUGUAAAGCACUUUAAGCGAGGAGGAGGCUACCUAGAUUAAUACUUUAGGAUAGUGGACGUUACUCGCAGAAUAAGCACCGGCUAACUCUGUGCCAGCAGCCGCGGUAAUACAGAGGGUGCGAGCGUUAAUCGGAUUUACUGGGCGUAAAGCGUGCGUAGGCGGCCAAUUAAGUCAAAUGUGAAAUCCCCGAGCUUAACUUGGGAAUUGCAUUCGAUACUGGUUGGCUAGAGUAUGGGAGAGGAUGGUAGAAUUCCAGGUGUAGCGGUGAAAUGCGUAGAGAUCUGGAGGAAUACCGAUGGCGAAAGCAGCCAUCUGGCCUAAUACUGACGCUGAGUACGAAAGCAUGGGGAGCAAACAGAUUAGAUACCC
RNAcentral lists this ribosomal RNA (763 nucleotides) under Acinetobacter radioresistens WC-A-157. RNAcentral's name for it is "bacterial SSU rRNA". It matches the Rfam family "Bacterial small subunit ribosomal RNA", at positions 28 to 787 of the family's 1533-position model. Lineage: Bacteria; Pseudomonadati; Pseudomonadota; Gammaproteobacteria; Moraxellales; Moraxellaceae. The record is from RNAcentral.